This 113-nucleotide ribosomal RNA is filed under the name Acanthosepion pharaonis. The record is from RNAcentral. Lineage: Eukaryota; Metazoa; Mollusca; Cephalopoda; Sepiida; Sepiidae.
UACAGCCACAUCAUGUUGAAACACUGGUUCCUAUACAAUCACCAACGUUAAGCAUUGUUGACCCUGGUCAGUAUCUAGAUGGGUGACUGCUUGGGAAUACCAGGUGCUGUAAG